UCAUUCCCAGCUUACUGCAGGUACGCAUUUGUCUGUUAUAUGGGAGCUCUGCCUUGCAAAAUUUUGAUUUGCCUCAAUGUUGAAAAUCUAUAUGGCCACUGGUGAUUAGUUAAUGUGUUUAGGAGGUGGGAAUUUGGUAGAGCUUGUAGCUUUAAGCAUAGUUGUUAAAUUUGGACCAGCCCAGCUGGCUCAGUCAGGAACUGUCCCUUGGCCAGUCCGGUUUAUCCCUCAAACAUGUUAUUUCAAUACCCUGAUAAAACACUUUGAACCGGCUGGGUAACCAAUCGACCCGAACUGGGUUUAACGAAUUGGGCAGGUAAGCAGUCCACCCAAACCAAGUUUAACAAGUUGAGCGGGUUUUCGGGAUGGCGACGUGACACUUAUCUAGGUGCUACAUAACCCUCUUAAGGAAAACCAAUGCAGUGCCGGGAUUUGAAAUGUGGGCUGCCAGGCUCAUGGCAGGCUUUAAAGCGAGUUGUCAUUUGAACUACGCUUUGAAUAUUUUUCUUCCAUAAUAUAUAAUAUUAUUAUUUAAAAUCUAAAAUCCCAAUUAAAAAUUUUAAAUUAUUUAUAAAUUAUAUCAAAGACACUAUUAUUAUUUCUCAAAAGACACCAUGUCCUCGUGUGAAAAAAAUUAAUUCGUCUGCUGGCACAGAGUUGAACCUGAG
Molecule: unclassified non-coding RNA, 668 nt
Filed under: Hevea brasiliensis (rubber tree)
Lineage: Eukaryota; Viridiplantae; Streptophyta; Magnoliopsida; Malpighiales; Euphorbiaceae
Source: RNAcentral